CGAUGAUGCCCAGCUUGCUGGGCGGAUUAGUGGCGAACGGGUGAGUAAUACGUGAGUAACCUGCCCUUGACUCUGGGAUAAGCCUGGGAAACUGGGUCUAAUACUGGAUACUACCUCUUGCCGCAUGGUGGGUGGUGGAAAGGGUUUUACUGGUUUUGGAUGGGCUCACGGCCUAUCAGCUUGUUGGUGGGGUAAUGGCUCACCAAGGCGACGACGGGUAGCCGGCCUGAGAGGGUGACCGGCCACACUGGGACUGAGACACGGCCCAGACUCCUACGGGAGGCAGCAGUGGGGAAUAUUGCACAAUGGGCGGAAGCCUGAUGCAGCGACGCCGCGUGAGGGAUGACGGCCUUCGGGUUGUAAACCUCUUUCAGUAGGGAAGAAGCGAGAGUGACGGUACCUGCAGAAGAAGCGCCGGCUAACUACGUGCCAGCAGCCGCGGUAAUACGUAGGGCGCAAGCGUUGUCCGGAAUUAUUGGGCGUAAAGAGCUCGUAGGCGGUUUGUCGCGUCUGCUGUGAAAGCCCGGGGCUCAACCCCGGGUCUGCAGUGGGUACGGGCAGACUAGAGUGCAGUAGGGGAGACUGGAAUUCCUGGUGUAGCGGUGAAAUGCGCAGAUAUCAGGAGGAACACCGAUGGCGAAGGCAGGUCUCUGGGCUGUUACUGACGCUGAGGAGCGAAAGCAUGGGGAGCGAACAGGAUUAGAUACCCUGGUAGUCCAUGCCGUAAACGUUGGGCACUAGGUGUGGGGGACAUUCCACGUUUUCCGCGCCGUAGCUAACGCAUUAAGUGCCCCGCCUGGGGAGUACGGCCGCAAGGCUAAAACUCAAAGGAAUUGACGGGGGCCCGCACAAGCGGCGGAGCAUGCGGAUUAAUUCGAUGCAACGCGAAGAACCUUACCAAGGCUUGACAUUCACCGGACCGCCCCAGAGAUGGGGUUUCCCUUCGGGGCUGGUGGACAGGUGGUGCAUGGUUGUCGUCAGCUCGUGUCGUGAGAUGUUGGGUUAAGUCCCGCAACGAGCGCAACCCUCGUUCUAUGUUGCCAGCACGUGAUGGUGGGGACUCAUAGGAGACUGCCGGGGUCAACUCGGAGGAAGGUGGGGAUGACGUCAAAUCAUCAUGCCCCUUAUGUCUUGGGCUUCACGCAUGCUACAAUGGCCGGUACAAAGGGUUGCGAUACUGUGAGGUGGAGCUAAUCCCAAAAAGCCGGUCUCAGUUCGGAUUGAGGUCUGCAACUCGACCUCAUGAAGUCGGAGUCGCUAGUAAUCGCAGAUCAGCAACGCUGCGGUGAAUACGUUCCCGGGCCUUGUACACACCGCCCGUCAAGUCACGAAAGUUGGUAACACCCGAAGCCGGUGGCCUAACCCC
This 1366-nucleotide ribosomal RNA is filed under the name Kocuria rosea. RNAcentral describes it as "bacterial SSU rRNA". It matches the Rfam family "Bacterial small subunit ribosomal RNA", at positions 67 to 1442 of the family's 1533-position model. The record is from RNAcentral. Lineage: Bacteria; Bacillati; Actinomycetota; Actinomycetes; Micrococcales; Micrococcaceae.